RNAcentral lists this non-coding RNA (113 nucleotides) under Paenibacillus rhizosphaerae. RNAcentral describes it as "TPP sequence". It matches the Rfam family "TPP riboswitch aptamer (THI element)". Rfam says of the family: Vitamin B(1) in its active form thiamin pyrophosphate (TPP) is an essential coenzyme that is synthesised by coupling of pyrimidine and thiazole moieties in bacteria. The previously detected thiamin-regulatory element, thi box was extended, resulting in a new, highly conserved RNA secondary structure, the THI element, which is widely distributed in eubacteria and also occurs in some archaea. Analysis of operon structures identified a large number of new candidate thiamin-regulated genes, mostly transporters, in various prokaryotic organisms. Lineage: Bacteria; Bacillati; Bacillota; Bacilli; Caryophanales; Paenibacillaceae. The record is from Rfam by way of RNAcentral.
UUAUAGAAUCCGGGGUGCUGGAAUUGGCCGGCUGAGAUUGUAUCCCUUCAAGAUACUGACCCUUUUAACCUGAUCUGGGUAAUGCCAGCGUAGGAAACCGUUUGUCACGGCUU